Molecule: ribosomal RNA, 407 nt
Filed under: uncultured bacterium
Lineage: Bacteria
Description: partial 16S ribosomal RNA
Rfam family: Bacterial small subunit ribosomal RNA
Source: RNAcentral
AUUGAACGCUGGCGGCAGGCCUAACACAUGCAAGUCGAGCGGAGCGGCGGACGGGUGGGUAAUGCCUAGGAAUCUGCCUGGUCGUGGGGGAUAACGUCCGGAAACGGGCGCUAAUACAGCAUCCUAUCAGAUGAGCCUAGGUCGGAUGAGCUAGUUGGUGGGGUAAAGGCCUACCAAGGCGACGAUCCGUAACUGGUCUGAGGGGAUGAUCAGUCACACGGGAACUGAGACACGGUCCAGACUCCAACGGGAGGCAGCAGGGGGGAAUAUUGGACAAUGGGCGAAAGCCUGAUCCAGCCUUGCCGCGUGUGUGAAGAAGGUCUUCGGAUUGUAAAGCACUAUAAGUUGGGAGGCGUUACCAACAGAAUAAGCACCGGCUAACUUCGUGCCAGCAGCCGGGGUAAUUC